GUGCUCGCUUUAGCGGCACAUACACUAAAACUGCAAUGAUACAGAGAAGAUUAGCAUGGCCCCUGUGCAAGGAUUACACGCAAAUUCGUGAAGCGUUCCAUAUUUUA
Small nuclear RNA from Dromiciops gliroides (monito del monte), 107 nucleotides. Lineage: Eukaryota; Metazoa; Chordata; Mammalia; Microbiotheria; Microbiotheriidae. The record is from RefSeq and is a predicted model, not a curated record.